Molecule: ribosomal RNA, 634 nt
Filed under: uncultured Marinobacter sp.
Lineage: Bacteria; Pseudomonadati; Pseudomonadota; Gammaproteobacteria; Pseudomonadales; Marinobacteraceae
Description: bacterial SSU rRNA
Rfam family: Bacterial small subunit ribosomal RNA
Source: RNAcentral
CACCUGGGGAGUGCGGCCGCAAGGUUAAAACUCAAAUGAAUUGACGGGGGCCCGCACAAGCGGUGGAGCAUGUGGUUUAAUUCGACGCAACGCGAAGAACCUUACCUGGCCUUGACAUGCAGAGAACUUUCCAGAGAUGGAUUGGUGCCUUCGGGAACUCUGACACAGGUGCUGCAUGGCCGUCGUCAGCUCGUGUCGUGAGAUGUUGGGUUAAGUCCCGUAACGAGCGCAACCCCUAUCCCUAGUUGCUAGCAGUUCGGCUGAGAACUCUAGGGAGACUGCCGGUGACAAACCGGAGGAAGGUGGGGAUGACGUCAGGUCAUCAUGGCCCUUACGGCCAGGGCUACACACGUGCUACAAUGGUGCGCACAGAGGGCUGCAAACCCGCGAGGGGGAGCCAAUCUCACAAAACGCAUCGUAGUCCGGAUCGCAGUCUGCAACUCGACUGCAUGAAGUCGGAAUCGCUAGUAAUCGUGAAUCAGAAUGUCACGGUGAAUACGUUCCCGGGCCUUGUACACACCGCCCGUCACACCAUGGGAGUGGAUUGCACCAGAAGUGGUUAGUCUAACCUUCGGGAGGACGAUCACCACGGUGUGGUUCAUGACUGGGGUGAAGUCGUAACAAGGUAACCGUA